CAGCAGCCGCGGUAAUACGAAGGGGGCUAGCGUUGUUCGGAUUUACUGGGCGUAAAGGGCGCGUAGGCGGACUGAUAAGUCAGGGGUGAAAUCCCAGAGCUCAACUCUGGAACUACCUUUGAUACUGGGUAUCUUGAGUAUGGAAGAGGUGAGUGGAAUUCCGAGUGUAGAGGUGAAAUUCGUAGAUAUUCGCAAGAACACCAGUGGCGAAGGCAGCCCCCUGGGAUAACACUGACGCUCAUGCACGAAAGCGUGGGGAGCAAACAGGAUUAGAUACCCGCGUAGUCCCUGUCUCUUAUAC
Molecule: ribosomal RNA, 301 nt
Filed under: uncultured bacterium
Lineage: Bacteria
Description: partial 16S ribosomal RNA
Rfam family: Bacterial small subunit ribosomal RNA
Source: RNAcentral